This 2078-nucleotide long non-coding RNA is filed under the name Homo sapiens (human). Its description in RNAcentral is "HSALNT0370314". The record is from RNAcentral. Lineage: Eukaryota; Metazoa; Chordata; Mammalia; Primates; Hominidae.
CAAAAUCCAGCCAGCUUGGGAGGCAUGGUUGAUGCGAGUUAGCAAAGAUUCUCGACUGUGGUAAGUCUGUUCAAGGGGACGCAUUCACCAAGUGUCCCCGUUAGCCAAGUUAGCCUGCUGUGGCCAGCUCUUUACUUUUUCCCCCCGAAGCCCCUUCAGCUCUGUUUUCUCUUUCGGGGUCAUGAAGUUUGUCCACGGCCCCUACUCCUGACAGCCUCUGGGAUGGGUGCUGCGGAGGCAGCAGCAGCCACACAGAAAGAGGCAGAUCAGCGUUGUCACCCCUACUUUUGUAAAAGGAAAUCUGGUAUUGCCAGGCUGUGUGGUUAGCGACUCACAUAUGUUCUCGAAAUCUCACAAAAGCCCUGUGAGGUAGAAAUUAUUUUACCCAUUUUAUAGGAAGGAAAUUGAGACUGAGCGAGCCGGCUUCGGAUUGGCUCAAGGUCACAUAUAGUCAUCAUUCGAACCUCACUCAGUCUGCUUCUUUCUGAAGUCUGUGCAGCUUAAUCACUUCAGAAUGGGAAGGAAACGGGGGCCCAGGGAAGUUAAGCAACUUGCCCACUCACUCAGUCUAAUUGGUGCCGGGGCAGGGACAGAACUCACUCAAUUCCACUGCUUUCCCCAGUUUCUGGUGAGUGAUGUGUGCCUGGCACUGUGUGCACCUGGCACUGUGUGUAGUAGGAAUGCUGUUUCUUCUGUCUGUAACCUCCUCCCAGUUCUGUAAACAAAGACAAAACCAUGCCCUGCCCUUAAAGCCUAUAGGGUUCAAAUGCCACCUCUUUGAUGAUGCUUUCCCUAUAACACCAUUUGAUACCUCUCAUGGGACUUAGCAAGUAAUUGCAACGAGAGGCAUAUAUGUUAGUUCAAUAUAGCAAACCUUUGUUGAGGGCCCACUGUGUGCCAGGUAUGUCUCCCCUCCCUGAGGACUGGAAGCAACCAUAGUUUAUAUUUCUCCUUCUUUCUCGCUUUAUAAGGUGUUGCUAAAAGCCUCCAGUGAAUGAAUGAACACUUGUGUGCCUGCCCUCAAGGAGCCUGCACUACACUUGGAGAUAUAUACAGAAACCUGUUGAGGGCUAACUUAGGUUGGCAAGGCCCCCAGUGGCCAAGGCAUGAGCCUGGAUGCCCUGCAAAUUGAGUACGUGUUAGGGAUGGGGGCCAUUCUUUAUAGUUUGACUCUGGAGAGCUAGGACCACCUUUCCCAGCCUCAGGGGUGCACAUCCUCAGGAGCUGCCUACCUCCAGAUAUUGUAAGUCCAUGCAGAAGAGGAAGGGCCCAGCUGGGGCACCUCUUGGUUGAGGAAUGAGUAUGUGACAUUUUCAUGUGGGCACAUUUUGAUACUACUUUAAAAAUAGACCAAGCACAGUGGCUCACACCUGUAAUUCCAGCACUUCGGGACGCUGAGAGAGGUGGAUCACCUGAGGUCAGGAGUUCGAGAUCAGCCUGGCCAACAUGGAGAAACCCCGCCUCUACUAAAAAUACAAAACAUUAGCUGGGUGUGGUGGCACACACCUGUAAUUCCAGCUACUCGGGAGGCAGAAGCAGGAGAAUCGCUUGAAUCCAGGAGGCGGAGGUUGCAGUAAGCCGAGAUCACGCCACUACACUCCAGCUUACACUGGACAUGAUGAGGAGGAGGAGGAUGAUGGUGGUGAUUAUGAUAGAAAUGGUGAUGGUGAUGAUGACAAUGGUGAUAGUAGGGAUGGUCUUGCUCUGUCGCAAUCAAUAAAUGAAUGCAUAAACACAUUUCUACUUGUUUUUGCAGUCCUAAGAUAAGUGCUCAGUAGCAUCCCUGCCCUUCUAAUGUGAACUUGAGGGAUGGGUAAGACCCAGAGAUGGCAUGGGGGACGGGAUAAGGAAGGCCUACUGUUCAUAUUGUGAACAUGAAAUGGUUUUACAUUUUGAUGCCACUUCAUUAAAUUGACUGUAUGAUAUGAGCUAACGCUACACCCUCCUUUAAAUUUUGGCUAACACAUCCAUAUCCUCAGGUGGUAUCAGUUGAUAAUGCCCAUGAAAAUAUUUUGUAAACUACAGGGUGCUAAACAAUUAUUUACUUGUAUCCCUUUCUGUGGGGCACAGUUUGAUGC